This 264-nucleotide ribosomal RNA is filed under the name uncultured bacterium. RNAcentral's name for it is "partial 16S ribosomal RNA". It matches the Rfam family "Bacterial small subunit ribosomal RNA", at positions 29 to 289 of the family's 1533-position model. The record is from RNAcentral.
ACGAACGCUGGCGGCGUGCUUAACACAUGCAAGUCGAACGAUUAAAGCUCACUUCGGUGAGUGUAUAGAGUGGCGAACGGGUGAGUAACACGUGGGAAACCUGCCCCUUUCUUCGGGAUAACUUCGGGAAACCGUUGCUAAUACCGGAUACUCCGGGAUGGUCGCAUGGCCGACCCGGGAAAGCUUUAUGUGGAAAGGGAUGGUCCCGCGGCCCAUUAGCUUGUUGGUGGGGUAAUGGCCUACCAAGGCAAUGAUGGGUAGCCG